AAUGCUGUUAUUAUAACAGCCUGGCUGCUGGAACCCCCAGUAGUAAAGUGAAAUAGUCAAGGCUCCCCAGCACAGACAAUAGCUACAUUGACCUUGAGUUUAAGAAAAGCCCUCCCAUGAUCUCUUAUAAGGCACUGCACUUGGUACUGUGCUGUUUUUGAUUAAUGCCUUUCUCAAUAUCAUAGGCUCCUUCUUGCUGGUCCACUACAUCAGCAAGGGUGGGGCAAGUGUCGUUCCAGUCCUGCUCCUAGGCAUUCUGGUGUUCCCAUUG
This 271-nucleotide long non-coding RNA is filed under the name Homo sapiens (human). RNAcentral's name for it is "non-protein coding lnc-ABCD2-2:1". The record is from RNAcentral. Lineage: Eukaryota; Metazoa; Chordata; Mammalia; Primates; Hominidae.